AGGAUGAACGCUGGCGGCGUGCCUAACACAUGCAAGUCGAACGUCCUGUCUCGCAAGAGGCAGGGAGUGGCGGACGGGUGAGUACCACGUGGGUCAUCUACCGUGAGGUGAGGAAUACCGGCGAGAAAUCGCCGACAAGACCGCAUAGCCUCGGUGCAAGUCGAGGAAAGCUCUCUCGAGAGAGGGAGCGCCACACGAGGAGCCUGCGCCCGAUUAGCUAGCUGGUGGAGUAAUGGUUCACCAGGGCGACGAUCGGUAGCUGGUCUGAGAGGACGAUCAGCCACACUGGGAUUGAGAACGGCCCAGACUCCUACGGGGGGCAGCAGUGAGGAAUUUUCGCAAUGGGGGCAACCCUGAACGAGCAACGCCGCGUGCAGGAAGAAGGUUUUCGGAUCGUAAACUGCUUUUCGUCGGGGAAGAGAACGGACGGUACCGAGGAAUCGAGCCCCGGCUAACUACGUGCCAGCAGCCGCGGU
Molecule: ribosomal RNA, 476 nt
Filed under: uncultured bacterium
Lineage: Bacteria
Description: SSU rRNA
Rfam family: Bacterial small subunit ribosomal RNA
Source: RNAcentral